AGCGGCGGACGGGUGAGUAACGCGUGGGUAACCUGCCCUGUACACACGGAUAACAUACCGAAAGGUAUGCUAAUACGAGAUAAUAUACUUUUAUCGCAUGGUAGAAAUAUCAAAGCUUUUGCGGUACAGGAUGGACCCGCGUCUGAUUAGCUAGUUGGUAAGGUAACGGCUUACCAAGGCGACGAUCAGUAGCCGACCUGAGAGGGUGAUCGGCCACAUUGGAACUGAGACACGGUCCAAACUCCUACGGGAGGCAGCAGUGGGGAAUAUUGCACAAUGGGCGAAAGCCUGAUGCAGCAACGCCGCGUGAGCGAUGAAGGCCUUCGGGUCGUAAAGCUCUGUCCUCAAGGAAGAUAAUGACGGUACUUGAGGAGGAAGCCCCGGCUAACUACGUGCCAGCAGCCGCGGUAAUACGUAGGGGGCUAGCGUUAUCCGGAAUUACUGGGCGUAAAGGGUGCGUAGGUGGUUUCUUAAGUCAGAGGUGAAAGGCUACGGCUCAACCGUAGUAAGCCUUUGAAACUGGGAAACUUGAGUGCAGGAGAGGAGAGUGGAAUUCCUAGUGUAGCGGUGAAAUGCGUAGAUAUUAGGAGGAACACCAGUUGCGAAGGCGGCUCUCUGGACUGUAACUGACACUGAGGCACGAAAGCGUGGGGGAGCAAACAGGAUUAGAUACCCUGGUAGUCCACGCCGUAACGAUGAGUACCAGCUGU
Molecule: ribosomal RNA, 710 nt
Filed under: uncultured bacterium
Lineage: Bacteria
Description: bacterial SSU rRNA
Rfam family: Bacterial small subunit ribosomal RNA
Source: RNAcentral